This is a long non-coding RNA of Rattus norvegicus (Norway rat), 6814 nucleotides long. RefSeq lists it as uncharacterized. Lineage: Eukaryota; Metazoa; Chordata; Mammalia; Rodentia; Muridae. The record is from RefSeq and is a predicted model, not a curated record.
ACCGGGAAAGGGAAUAACACUAGAAAUGUAUAUAAGAAAUACUCAAGUUAAUAAAAAAAAUAAAAUGUAAAAAAAAUAAAAAUAAAAUAAAAUAAAAAAAAUAAAAAAAAAAAAACUCGGGACAGCAAAUGCUAGCGAGGAUGCGGAGAAAGAGGAACACUCCUCCAUUGUUGGUGGGAUUGCAGACUGGUACAACCAUUCUGGAAAUCAGUCUGGAGGUUCCUCAGAAAAUUGGACAUUGAACUACCUGAGGAUCCAGCUAUACCUCUCUUGGGCAUAUACCCACAAGAUUCCCCAACAUAUAAAAAAGACAUGUGCUCCACUAUGUUCAUUGCAGCCUUAUUUAUAAUAGCCAGAAGCUGGAAAGAACCCAGAUGCCCUUCAACAGAGGAAUGGAUACAGAAAAUGUGGUACAUCUACACAAUGGAAUAUUACUCAGCUAUCAAAAACAAUGCCUUUAUGAAAUUCAUAGGCAAAUGGUUGGAACUGGAAAAUAUCAUCCUGAGUGAGGUAACCCAAUCACAGAAAAACACACAUGGUAUGCACUCAUUGAUAAGUGGCUAUUAGCCCAAAUGCUUGAAUUACCCUAGAUGCCUAGAACACAUGAAACUCAAGACGGAUGAUCAAAAUGUGAAUGGUUCACUCCUUCUUUAAAAGGGGGAACAAGAAUACCCUUGGCAGGGAAGAGAGAGGCAAAGAUUAAAACAGACACAGAAGGAACAUCCAUUCAGAGCCUGCCUCACAUGUGGCCCAUACAUAUACAGCCACCCAAUUAGACAGGAUGGAUGAAGCAAAGAAGUGGAGACCGACAGGAGCCGGAUGUAGAUCUCUCCUGAGAGACACAGCCAGAAUACAGCAAACACAGAGGCGUAUGCCAGCAGCAAACCACUGAACUGAGAAUUGGACCCCCGUUGAAGGAAUCACAGAAAGAAAUGGAAGAGCUUGAAUGGGCUCGAGACCCCUUAUGAACAACAAUUCCAAGCAACCAGAGCUUCCAGGGCCUAAGCCACUACCUAAAGACUAUACAUGGAGUGACCCUGGACUCUGACCUCAUAGGUAGCAAUGAACAUCCUAGUUAGAGCACCAGUGGAAGGGGAAGCCCUGGGUCCUGCUAAGACUGAACCCCCAGUGAACGUGAUUGUUGGGGGUAGGGUGGGGAGGGGAACACCCAUAAAGAAAGGGAGGGAGAGGGAUUAGGGGGAUGUUUGCCGGGAAACCGGGAAAGGGAAUAAUAUUCAAAAUGUAAAUAAGAAAUACUCAAGUUAAUAAAAAUAAAAUAAAAUAAAAUAAAGUUCCAAUGGGUGUAACUGAGCAUGGCAACACAUAUUAUUAUCUGGGGGACAACAUGAAGAGUUCAAGGCUUCUGAUCCUUGUCUAUUGAUGCUGGGUCUCAAUCUCUUUUAAGGCGAUACAGUAAUGUGGAUCAGUGGUAGAGUGCUUGCCUAGCAUAUGCAAAGUCCUGGGAUCAAUACUCAGCACUAAAACAGACAGAAGGGAACAAAUCCAAGUGCAGACAGCUGAGGGGUUAUUUUCUAACCAACUCUUGUUAGUGAGGAAGUAGCACAGUGUUUGCCUGUGGCGUUGUGGCUGAAAUGUGGGCACCUACUAUUUCAUUCUGUUCAGACUGGUUACAAGUGGAAGGUGCUUCCCCCCUGGCCCACAGGGCUCUUGUGGAACAAGAGGGCAGAGAGGAGAAAGCCUCAUCUUUAGCAUCUAAAAGGGAUGUGCCCUACAGUGUUGCUUUACUGACCGUAGUAGGGAGUCCGGUCUGCAGUUCUGCCUGUCUCUCCAUUACACGGAGCAUAAAUGAAAAUCAGAAGCAACCCUGAAGGUCAGGUAGGGGAUGUGGUUUUGGUUCAGCUGGAACUCUGCUGUCCUCUUUUCUCAGGAACCACAAAGAUCUUUUUAAAAUUUCCUCCUCCUGCCUCCCAAAGCUACAUUCUACAGACUUUCAACACCAGGGCCCUGCAUGGUGUGGAGGAGGGGGAGCACUGUGCCUUUGCAAAGACUUUGUUGUGUGCACAUCUCUGCACUCCUUGGGGUGCGGUGGGGUCUGUCCAUCUUAGUGUCUGGUUUGAUAGAGUGUGAUUUAGCCUUUGAUUAUUAAGUACUUCUAGUUUCUUGGGACUCCCAAAGAAACCUGUACCACGCAAAACAGGGAACCAAGGAGUUGACAUUGCUUGAUGUCUUUGCAGGUCACUGAUGUAUCUAUCUUCCUACAAAAUAUAACAGGCAAUAACUUGUCAAUAAAGCAUUCCUUUGGAGGAGAACCCACUUCCAUUUUUUGGUGUGUCUUUAGGAUAAUGAAAAAAGAGUGGGGAGCAAAUGCACCAUUCCUUACUCCCAUAAACCAUGGCUUUGGGAUGGGGAGCUGGUAGGGGACAAUAACAUACAAGUCCCAAGUUUUUGGUGUGCAUAUAAAGGGAGAGAACUGUGUACAAGCUGCAUCUCUGUGUGAGACCAGAGGUGCGAGCCAGGCGUUCAGUUAAGGAGCUUGCCGUACAUUGUCAAGACUGAUUCCGAGGAAGGGGUUUGUCCCAGUGACCAUCUGGUUUUGCUGAGAGGUUGGGUCUGAAAUGUGGCGAACUGAAAAUCUUUGAGAGUACUGUGGACUCCAGCAAGUGGAGUAAGUAGAACCAGGGAACACUUCAAGGGCUCAUACUGGGGAAAAGCAACCAUAUCCAGGAACUCACCUGGUGGAAAUGGGCACUGGAGAGAGCAGCAUCUUGAGUCCCACCUAGAGAAGAUAGUUACUCUAGUGUGCAAUAACCCUUCCAAGGAAUCUGUAGAAGGCACGAUCUCUAGAUCAGGAGUCAUGUGCAAUGGUGAGCAACUGAAGACUCUUAAGUGCUUAGUCAACAGGCCAGGUUGGAGUUGUUGGCAAGAACAGAAGGGCUGAGAGAGUCAGAGGGAGAUCAAAGACUUGGUCUGUUGCAUGCACACCUCUGCUCACCUUUGGGGUGAGAUGAUGACUGUCCAUCUCAGUGUCUGGUUUGAUAGAGUGUGAUGUAUCCUUUGAUUAUCAAGCAUUCCUGGUUUCUUUGGAAACUUUCAAUACUGCACUUCAUACUGGAUGAGUCCAGAUGGCAGGGCAGCAAGUGGAUCUGUGCUAGGAAGUCUGAAUUUACCCUAGGCUACGUUGGAAGGCAGUCUCAUGCACUGGAACCAUUAAGCAGAUACUUUAAAUAAUCCGUGGGUAAGAGACUGCCUGUCAGGCUUUGUGGGUUCAUGGUUGUGUUAUGGACCCAGUCCUCAGACCUUUGUAGUUGUACCUUAAGGAAGAUGUGUUCCUCUAAGCAACCUUGGUUGUAAUAAAAUGAGGUUUGCUGAAAAUCUUUGAGAGUACUGUGGACUGCGGCUAACGGAGUGAGUAGAGCCAGGGCACAUUUCGAGGACUCGUACUGGGAAGGAGCAACCAUAUCUGAAAUAGGAAUGGGUGGUGGAACCUCUUAAUCAGAUAAAGGGGUAAGAUAAAGUACUUACCAUUAAAGGCAAAUACGAGAACCCCCUCAAAUUCUUAACCACUGCCAGCAUUUACCAGAAAUCUUCCUGUCAUACACACUCUUAAAGAUUGGUUCUUUAGCCACGUGUGGUGGUACAUACCUUCAAUCCCAGCAUUUAGGAGGCAGAGGCAGGUGGAUUUCUUUUGAGUUUGAGACUACCCUGGUCUACAAAGAGAGUUCCAAGAUAGCCUGGGCUACACAGAGAAAACUCAUAUCAAAAUAAAUGAAUUAUUAAAGUAAAAAAAGUGGAGAACUCAUAAACACACACACACACACACACACACACACACACACACACACACACACACACUAAACCAUUGUAAAAGGGCAGCAGUUACGAGAUCUCCUGAGUGCCUAUGGGCAAGGCAUACCCUAAGAUGCUCCUUUCUGUCAGGUUUGGCCACAGACUCUCAGUAAACAUUUACUAACCAUCAAUAGGCCUUCCUUCCGGCUCAUCCUGAGAGAGAUUCAUGGUUGUUUCUCACCAGUAAUACAAAUUUACAGCACGCGUAGGAAAACACAGAGAAUUGAGUAUAAUUUUCUGUGCACCCAAAUUCUCCAAAGUUUUAGUUCAUGGCUCAUUUCUGAGAGAAGGUCUCACGAUGUAGCUCUGGCUUAGAAUUCAUGACAUAGAAGAGGCUUGCCCCGAACUCACAGAAUUCCAUUGAACUCUUCAUCCCAAGUGCUGCGAAUAAGGGUAUGUGUCACCAACGCCUGAUGGACUAGUGACUUUUCUAUUGCUAAGAUAAACCAUCACAAAAGAAAGGAUUUAGUCUAGUUUAUGAUUUCAGAUGGAUAGAAUCCAUGAUAGCUAAAUGAAAGAAUAGCUGAGAGCUCACAUCUUGAGACAGCCAUGGUGCAGAAAGAGAGCACUAGAAAUCUUUUGAAACCUCAAAGCCUGCCCCCAGUGACGCAUCUUCUCUUGAGGGCCACACCUCCUAAUUCUUCUAAAACAGUUCCAGCAAGCAAGUAUUCAAAUAUAUGAGCCUAUGGGAGCCACUGUCAUUCAAACAGCUGACAUGUACUGCAUAUUCUAUAUUUCUAAAAUUUGUUGUUGAAAAAUGCUUUUUGAUAUGUACAGCAAAAGCCUCCAAGAACUACAAUAAUGUGUCAAAAAUCUAUAUAGUGAAUAUCUAUACAUUUGAGAUGUCGAAAGAUAAAAGCUUGUAAGUACCUUGCUGAUGGCUGCCAGCAAAGUCUUCAUAGAGAAGAAAUAUUGUCAGUUUAACCUUAUCUAUUAGGAUAGCAGUCCCAGGAAAACCAAAAGGAGAUCUCAUUUAUCUUGGCUCUAGGACGUUUAGGUGAUUCAGUGUAUUAGGUAAUAAAUUUAGAAAAUAUGAUUCAGACAGUGUAACUAUUGGAUACGAGCACAAUUACCUAGAGGGUAAAAUAAAAAAAAAAGAUGUUUUCAAAGUCAGCUAGCUGCCUAGCUUUAAAAUUUAUGACUAGUCUAAGUCAAGAAAUGAAGAAUCAACCCAGAAAAUCUCUAAGAAAAUGCAACUUUAAACAGAAAUGGAACUUUAAAAAGAAGUGGAAAACCCCAAUAUACCAACAAUUAUCAAGGAAAAAUACAGCUUACCUCUAAUUCCUAUCCUUCUAACCUAAACAUAUUAAAGAAAGACAGUUCCAGGCUCCAGGGAUGAUUCAGAGGUUAAGAGCACAGACUGCUCUUCCACAAACCAUUUCAAUUCCCAGUACCCACACAGCAGUUCACAACUGUCUGUAACUGUAGUUCCGAGGGAUCUGAUGGAGAAAAUGUAUCCUAUGACAGUAUUGUGAAAUAAAAGUAAUAAUAUAUUAGAUUUUUAUUUAAAGCCACCCACUGUAAGAAAAUCAGGCUGGUUUAGAGAUAGAAAUGUAAAGACCAAUACCAUUAAACAAUUAGAAGUGUGUGUGUGUGUGUGUGUGUGUGUGUGUGUGUGUGUGUAUGUGUGUGUGUGUGUGUGUGUGUGUGUGUGUGUGUGUACAAGAGGGUCAGGUUCCAUCUUGAGCUGGCAGAACUGAGCACUGCUGUCCAUGCGGUACUGACUUUACAGGCACGGGAAUGAGGGAAUUGUGAAAACAUGCACUAAGGUUCACCAGGCUGCUGAGCCCAGGCACGGUUGUGGCAGCGGCAAAUUCUCUACAAGGCCUGGAGGAGCCACUGCAUAGGUGAAACCUAAAUUGCAGUAAACCCAGGACAUGGGCAAUGAUAAUCUAUGAUGUAGAAUUAUGAGCUGAAAUAAAGUAUUUCUUCCCCGUUGGUGUGUGUGAUAUUUUCUAUUGUGAGUUUGUGGUGUCUGGUCAGCUGCAGCACUGACUGUGACUAAUGAGACCAGAAUAAAUGGAACAAAACUUUUGCUCUCCUGGGACAAUGAAUGUUACUUAGCUGGGGCUGAGAGAGGAGUGGUGAUUAAGAAGAGACCAGCAUCACUGAGACGAAAUCUUCUGGGAAGGGUUUUCUCGGGGUCAACACACAGAAGCUGCGCUCCAGAGGGGACUAAGGCUGUGCCUGCUGUGGCAGCUGAGUUGUUAAUCUGUAAAUUUCACAGGUCACAGUAAUAUCGGCGAAAGUCCAGCCUUCGCAGUAAAAGCCCUAGAAUUAGAGGUCGUGUUCAGAAGCUGAGACUUGGCACCAUGUGGCAGGGUCGGAAUCUCCAGAGUCAGCCCAGGGGAGGCAAGUGAGGAGAGCCGGCCCAGUUGCGGUGGCGAUCCCAGCAUUUUGGGAAUGACCGUACUGCGGGGUCGCCAGCAAGGACAACGGCAUGCAGAGUGGAGCUGUGAGCUGUGGGUGGCAGACUCGGAAAGGAAAUAGCUGCCCAGCCAUUAGGAGCCCAGAGGGUCGAGAGUGGGUUCCGGGCACCAAGUCCUUAAGUCUUCACACCGCUGAACUUUGCCUUGGUUCCUCCCUCUUGGAGUUAGGAAGUACUUCACUUAUUUUGACUUUGCAGGAGCCCACAGUUGAUGGCUGAACUUUUGAAGAGACUCUGGAGUUUUAGGAUGACUGGGCAUUUUUAGAGAGACUGGAUAUUUUAGAGAGGCCUGAGCAUUGAAAGUGGUUGAAUUUUUAAAUAAUGCGGGGCUUUUAUCUUCACAGAUUUCAUAUUACAGAGAAACCCUGAAAACGUGAAGAAUGUAGCAAAGCUUCUUCGACCCUCAUUGGACUCGUUUUUAACUAUAUUUCUGCGUGCGUCUGAGAGAGAGAAAUAAAGGGUGUGGAGUUGACUGGCUGAGGUGGGAAGGAUCCGAGAUGAGUCAAGGGAGGAGAGCCAUGUCCACAAUAUAUUGUAUGAAAAGUUUCUUCAAUUAAAUAAAACGGGAAUACAAAUCUA